Non-coding RNA from Pangasius djambal, 66 nucleotides. The record is from the annotation of a GenBank genome assembly. Lineage: Eukaryota; Metazoa; Chordata; Actinopteri; Siluriformes; Pangasiidae.
GCAGCGAAAUAGCUCAGUUGGGAGAGCAUUAGACCUAAAUCCCUGGUUUGAUCCUGGGUUUCGGCA